Molecule: long non-coding RNA, 249 nt
Filed under: Ananas comosus (pineapple)
Lineage: Eukaryota; Viridiplantae; Streptophyta; Magnoliopsida; Poales; Bromeliaceae
Description: long non-coding RNA (ACOM_LNC042056)
Source: RNAcentral
AAUUUCGAGAAAAUCCAAAAAUACAUGUUUUAUAUGUAUUUAUGUGUUAUUUUCUUUUGUUGGAAAGAAAGAUUGGAUUGUGUCGUGAAUCCGUGGUCGAUCGAGGUAAAACGAAAUCGCAGCUUUGUUGUCUCCGUCGUGCCGAACGCAAUGGCGCUGUCGGAUCGAAAAUUCGACGGACGAAUUUUCGGGAAACGCAAAAUGUUCGCUGAGGGGUCGAAGGUGGCAAAUCGGAAUUUUCGCAAAAGU